Pongo abelii (Sumatran orangutan) is the source of this 147-nucleotide unclassified non-coding RNA. It matches the Rfam family "Metazoan signal recognition particle RNA". Rfam says of the family: The signal recognition particle (SRP) is a universally conserved ribonucleoprotein. It is involved in the co-translational targeting of proteins to membranes. The record is from Ensembl. NCBI's taxonomy places the organism in Eukaryota, Metazoa, Chordata, Mammalia, Primates, Hominidae.
GCCAGGCAUGGUGGUGCAUGCCUGUAAUCCCAGCUACUUGGGAGGCUGAGGCAGGAGAAUUGCUUGAACCUGGGAAGUGGAGUUGCAGUGAGCCGAGGUCAUCCCACUGCACUCCAGCCUGGGCGACAGAGCGAGAUGCUGUCUUUA